GAGAAGACGCAGCGAAAUGCGAUAAGUAAUGUGAAUUGCAGAAUUCAGUGAAUCAUCGAGUCUUUGAACGCACAUUGCGCCCCCUGGUAUUCCGGGGGGCAUGCCUGUCCGAGCGUCAUUGCUGCCCUCAAGCACGGCUUGUGUGUUGGGCCCCGUCCCCUCCCCCGGGGACGGGCCCGAAAGGCAGCGGCGGCACCGUGUCCGAUCCUCGAGCGUAUGGGGCUUUGUCACCCGCUCUGUAGGCCCGGCCGGCGCCAGCCGACACCCAACUUUUAUUUCUAAGGUUGACCUCGGAUCAGGUAGGGAUACCCGCUGAACUUAAGCAUAUCAAUAAGCGGAGGA
RNAcentral lists this unclassified non-coding RNA (342 nucleotides) under soil metagenome. Its description in RNAcentral is "partial contains 5.8S ribosomal RNA, internal transcribed spacer 2, and large subunit ribosomal RNA". The stretch from base 4 to 118 matches the Rfam family "5.8S ribosomal RNA", at positions 40 to 154 of the family's 154-position model. The record is from RNAcentral.